AGACAGCUGGAAGUUGGAAGGCUGCCAAGCUUGAAGGGAAGUGGAAACCAUAUUUUCUGUAAUGCAGUCAACAGUCCUUAAUCAGGCCCAGGACCCUGAGGGCUCUAAGAACAAACCCCAAAUAGUCAAGAUGUUUCUAAGGUAAUAUUAAGGAAUUUUUCAACACAAAACAUUUUUGGUUCAAAUGGACUGAAAACCCAAACUAUUCUAUGAUUCUACAAAAAAGAGAGACUCCAUGUUAUUUCAAAGUCAAAGAAUCAAAUAAGACAUCUUUACAAGUAUCCAGUAUGAUGACAUCUAAAAUUUCCAUACAAAAUGCUUGCUUGCUUAUAUUGAUCUCAGAAAGCUUUGGUUGAUAAGGAACAGUGUAUAGAACCCAAUGCAUCAGACUUGCAUAGUUUAAUACAAGAGGGGAGACUAUUGGUGAAGACUUCUUGCUCCAGCUGCAGGAUGCACCAUGCUAACAGGCUCUUGUCCUGCUGGGGGACUUCACCCACCCUGACAUCUACCAGAAAAUUAGCACAAUAAACUGUAGCAAUCCAAGAGACUCCUGGAAUGCAUGAAAGAAUUUCAUGAGCCAAGUAGUAGAGAGCCCUACAAGAGGGAAUAUGUUACUGGAUCUGAUGGUCACCAAUGUAAGCUAGCAAAUUGGGGACAUCAAAACUGAAGGCUGCCUGGGCUACAGGGAUCAUAUAUUGUUGUAAUUUGGAGUCCUGAGGGAAAUUUGCUGAUGACACCAAGCUGAUUGCUGUGGCUGACACACCUGGAGGACAGGAUAUCAUCCAGAGGUACCUGCACAAGCUCAAGAAACAGAUCCAUGGGAACCUCAGAGGUUUAACAAGACCAAGAGCAAGGUGCUGUACCUAGGUUGGGGCAGCCCCCUGUAUCAAUCAAGGCUAAAGGGAUGAACAGAUUAAAAGCAGCCCUUCUGAGAAUGACUGAGGGGUACUGGUGGACAAGAGGCUGGACAUGAGCUGGCAAUGUGCACUUGCAGCCCAGAAAGCCAAUCUUUUGGGCUGCAUCAAAAGGAGUGUGAUCAGCAGGUUGAGGGAGGUGGUUCUGCCUCUCUACUCCACUCUGGUGAGAUCCCACCUGGAGUACUGCAUUAGGCUCUGGAGUGCCCAGCACAGGAAAGAUGUGGACCUGUUAGAGUGAGUCCAGAGGAGGUCAUCAAGAUGAUUAGAGGGAUGAAACACCUCUCCUGUGAGGAAAGGCUGAGAGAAUUAGGAUUGUUCAGCCUGGAGAAUAGAAGGCUUCAAGGUGACUUCAUUUCAUCCCUCCAGGACCUAAAGGGGACUAAAAGAAAGAUGGAGAAAGACUAUUAGCAAGAGCAUGUAGAGAGAGGACAAUGAAGAAAGGCUUUAAGCUGAAA
This is a long non-coding RNA of Pseudopipra pipra, 1372 nucleotides long. RefSeq lists it as uncharacterized. Lineage: Eukaryota; Metazoa; Chordata; Aves; Passeriformes; Pipridae. The record is from RefSeq and is a predicted model, not a curated record. The transcript is spliced from 2 exons.